UACGGAGGGAGCUAGCGUUGUUCGGAAUUACUGGGCGUAAAGCGCACGUAGGCGGCUUUGUAAGUUAGAGGUGAAAGCCCGGGGCUCAACUCCGGAACUGCCUUUAAGACUGCAUCGCUUGAAUCCAGGAGAGGUGAGUGGAAUUCCGAGUGUAGAGGUGAGAUUCGUAGAUAUUCGGAAGAACACCAGUGGCGAAGGCGACUCGCUGGACAAGUAUUGACGCUGAGGUGCGAAAGCGUGGGGAGCAAACAGG
Molecule: ribosomal RNA, 253 nt
Filed under: uncultured bacterium
Lineage: Bacteria
Description: partial 16S ribosomal RNA
Rfam family: Bacterial small subunit ribosomal RNA
Source: RNAcentral